Molecule: ribosomal RNA, 447 nt
Filed under: Aeribacillus sp. E07C003Y
Lineage: Bacteria; Bacillati; Bacillota; Bacilli; Caryophanales; Bacillaceae
Also listed under: 434 other names
Description: bacterial SSU rRNA
Rfam family: Bacterial small subunit ribosomal RNA
Source: RNAcentral
GCGGCGGACGGGUGAGUAACACGUGGGCAACCUGCCCUGCAGACUGGGAUAACUUCGGGAAACCGGAGCUAAUACCGGAUAACACCGAAAACCGCAUGGUUUUCGGUUGAAAGGCGGCUUUUAGCUGUCACUGCAGGAUGGGCCCGCGGCGCAUUAGCUAGUUGGUGAGGUAACGGCUCACCAAGGCGACGAUGCGUAGCCGACCUGAGAGGGUGACCGGCCACACUGGGACUGAGACACGGCCCAGACUCCUACGGGAGGCAGCAGUAGGGAAUCUUCCGCAAUGGACGAAAGUCUGACGGAGCAACGCCGCGUGAGCGAAGAAGGUCUUCGGAUCGUAAAGCUCUGUUGUCAGGGAAGAACAAGUACCGUUCGAACAGGGCGGUACCUUGACGGUACCUGACGAGGAAGCCACGGCUAACUACGUGCCAGCAGCCGCGGUAAUAC